UAACACACAACUAAAGUCACAAGCUUUCGUAGUCACUGGUAUAGUCAAAUCGCUGUAGUCACAAGCUAUAACAAGUUGCUGAGGUAACAAGCAAAAAGCAUUCAUCAGUUUCAUUCGAGACGCUAAAUAAAAACACUGCUGAUGUGUCACAACGAGUUUUAGUCACUGCUAGUCAAAUUGCUGUGGACACAAGCUAGUCACAAGCUAAGUCCCAAGAAAACAUUGGUCAUUUCUGAUUUUACCCAUUUUGGCAGAACCUACAUUCCCAUUUUUAUUUUCUCUUUGUGUUUUGUUGACGCCAGAUCACAUUUGAAGACAUCUUGAGGACAUUCGACCUCAAUUGUGGAACAAACCGGUAGCAUUUCUUAAUUCUGCGAACAAAAAGUUUUCGUUGGCCGAAGAACCUGAAUAAUUGAGUAAUGGAUUUUUCCCCAACGCUUGAAAAAAUUACUGAUGUAAACAUUAAAUUAUUAUUCGAGCAUCUUAUCAAGAAUUUGAAGGAUUUGCAGCGAAGAGUUUUGCAACUAGAAAGCUUGGUCUGUUCGGAUUUACUAUCUGAAGGUCAAGAACUGUUCAAAAAGUAUUGCGAAGGAGAGGACAGGCCGUUGAUGUUUCCGCCUGCACCUUCACAACAGAGAAUUGACGCUUACGAAGCCCGCGAUGUGAAUGACAAUCCAAAUAUUGCCGAAGAUGAGAAACUACAGCAAAACUAUGAAGCUGAAGUGAAAGUAUACCGAGCCCUUGAAAAGCUAGACGAGCCAAUCAUAGUGUUGCAUGGACUAACAUACACUCAUUUCCGAUUCAGAAUAUGGGAUUCAAAGCAUAACACAGAAACUUGUUCAUCAGCCAAAAAAAUGCUCUGUGAAAAACCAAAUAAAACAGAAGGAGAGCAUGAUUUUGUAGUGAUGGGACCAGAUUACAUUGUUAUUAUUGAAGUGAAAAAUCCUAUAAAACAACAAAGAAACAUAAAUGAGUCAGUUAAGAAAGCUCACGAGCAGUUUCAAAGAGCUGAAACACUUGUUCGUGCAAUUGCUGAAAAAACCAAUCCUGCAGCGCAAUCUUCAAUCAAAUUGUUCAACAUAGUAGCGUUUCCCAAUUUUGGUCAAGAAGACCUCUCUUCUGCCAUUGAAAAGUCGGUCAAUGAAAAUUUCUCUGUGAUAUACGAAGAUCACUUGAAAAAUUUCAGUUCAUUUUGGAACGGUGAAAUUAAAACAAGUUCCUCUAGGGAGAAAGUUUGCGGUGAUAUUGAUAAAAUACAAUGCGUGUUACUUCGGCUUUUAGCCAACGAAAAAACAGGCACACGUAUAGAUGAAAGCAAAGUAAGUCUGGCUGAGUGUGUACGUGAAAUUGACCGAAAGCUGCGAGACAGCGAGAUCACUUUUAGAUCCGAAAAGCGACCCAACAACCCAAACGUUUGGAAAACUAGCGAGCUACCCCUUGUUGAAGGAAUUAACAUAUUCCAGGACUGUUUGGGCCUUAAGUAUAUUACUACAGAGCAAAAGGACGCGUAUGAGAGCACAGCGGAUCAUUUGAUCAUAAGUGGUCCAAGUGGUUCUGGCAAAACUUUGAUUUUGCUAGCAAGGAUUAUCCGACUAGCCCUCACUAAACCUGAGUCCAAGAUCGCAUUUUAUGUCCAGCACAGUAAGAAAUUAGUCAAUUACGAAGAUAUUUUCAAAUCUGCUUCAAUCAAAUUUUGGAUAGGCGAUGAGUCAGAUUCAUCUCGGCCAGAUGAGUCAGCAGCGAUAUGCGAUUUAACUCCACAAGUGCAAAUCUUCCACGGGAAAUCAGCUUUCGAUAGGGCACGUAGUUUUGAUAGUUUUCACUAUCUAUUUCUUGACGAUUUUCAGAGUGGAGUGAUGUCAUUAGAUUUUAUCACAGCUGCUCCUAAAAUAAAUGGCGUUGGAUUUGACUUAACUCAGGCCGAUUUUCUACAACAAAAUUUCAGUAAGCAUCAAGCCAACGAUUUUUUGAAAGAGUUUCAAUUUAUCAAGCUAGAAAAAACAUACCGCAACACUCACAAUAUUGUAACACAGCUAAUGACACUGAGUGAGCACAAAAGAUUGAGUAAGCUCCAAAAACGUUUCCCCUACUCUGAUAAUUUACUUCAUAGGACGUUUUUUCACAUUCCUUCUUACGGACACUUCAUUCACGGACCUCAAGUACUCGUUAACAUUUAUGACGCUGGCAACCGACUAAAACAAUUUACGAAAAGAAAAGUAGUUCCUCGGGUUUUCUCUGAAAUUGUUACUUCGGGCGGAAAAACGAGUGAAAAAAAUGCAAUUGAGGCAUGCAUUUUAUUCAACGAUUUCAGCGAUGAAGAAAUCCAGUUUUAUUCACAGCAGUACCCAUCAGUUUUGUUUUCAAACGGCAAUUAUUUAGGUGAUAUAGCUUCUACUGAGUUUACGGAAUGUCAAAUUGUUUGCUCAAAAAACUUUUUGCAUUAUAACUCAAUUUUAUCGGAACCAACAAUUUCCUGGAUGCUAUCAGAACUUAAGAAGUCAAAAUUUGGUUUAUCAAGGCUAUCUAUAACAGAUGAGAUGAGAGCAAAACUGAAACUAAACGAGCUUCUCCAAUUAUUAGAUGAAUCAAUAUCGAAGCUAGCUGUUGUCAAAACGUUGGGCAUACCGCCAAUAUCUUCGGAGCGAUCCUUAUCCAAGGAAGUUGAGUUGAAAAAAGAAACAUACCAAUUAAGCCUCGAUUUUGUUAGUAAGUCCUUGCAACAAACAAUUGAAAAGCUGGGAAGUGUAUCUGAUGAAAGUACCUCCGAUGUUCGGCUCACUCAUCUCCACAGGCUAGAAUCAUGCAUGAAUAAGCUUAUAACUAUAGAUUCUGUUAGCACUCCGACUAACUAUGAGCCCCUUAUAAGCAUGCUUUUCAAUACAAUAUCAAGGACACGAGUGCUAUGUCGAAUUCACCUGGCCUAUGACAAAUUCUGCCCGAUUACUAAACAAAUUGCUGAAAACUUCUGGCGAGAAAUCUUUCCAGACGCCAGGAUCAGAUUUAUAAAUUUAUAAAAAAAAUCCAGCUUGGGAGAAAUAUAUAAACCCAGUUAUUGUUCCGACUUUCGAUACGAAAGUAACGGAAUAUUUGUGCUCGGGGUGGGUUUUUUUUUCUUCAGACAAAUUUCAACUUUUUAGCUAGC
Molecule: long non-coding RNA, 3142 nt
Organism: Symsagittifera roscoffensis
Lineage: Eukaryota; Metazoa; Xenacoelomorpha; Acoela; Convolutidae
Exons: 3
Source: RefSeq, a predicted model, not a curated record